GCAUGCAAAAUUUCAGCCCGAUCCCUCCAGUAGUUUGACCUGUGCGUAGAUAGAUCAGUGGUUAGUCAGUCAGAUUUUCCUUUUAUUUAUU
Maniola jurtina (meadow brown) is the source of this 91-nucleotide long non-coding RNA. RefSeq lists it as uncharacterized. The transcript has 3 exons. The record is from RefSeq and is a predicted model, not a curated record. NCBI's taxonomy places the organism in Eukaryota, Metazoa, Arthropoda, Insecta, Lepidoptera, Nymphalidae.